UUUCAUAUACUAAAUUGAACCAUAAAUAUAAAAAUCAAUACAAACUUUUUCCUUUUAUUCGUAAGUAUAUGCAUUAAAAUCUAUAAUCUCUAAAUUAAUGCUUAUAUAAAAAUUUAGAAUUUGUUUACAACUUAAUAAAUAAAAUACUACGACUUGACCUCUAACAGCGGAGCGACUCGAAAUAAAUUGCUAAGAGAUGCCUUUACCUAUUCACGGUGGACCGAACGUGUCACUGACUACACGCU
This 245-nucleotide long non-coding RNA is filed under the name Theobroma cacao (cacao). Its description in RNAcentral is "long non-coding RNA (TCAC_LNC003281)". The record is from RNAcentral. Lineage: Eukaryota; Viridiplantae; Streptophyta; Magnoliopsida; Malvales; Malvaceae.